Pelobates cultripes (western spadefoot toad) is the source of this 203-nucleotide non-coding RNA. The record is from the annotation of a GenBank genome assembly. NCBI's taxonomy places the organism in Eukaryota, Metazoa, Chordata, Amphibia, Anura, Pelobatidae.
GUUUCUUGUGUGCAAAAUUACCGUAUCCCUAGUGAGUGCUAUUAUUUCUGGUGUGCGGUGAUGCUAUUGGUCAAUCAUUGCAUAACACAGAGGCUUUAACAAGAGUGUAUAUAUACGUUAAGUAUUUUACUAUGAAUACUGUGGAUGCUUUGGCUGUGGACGCAUAGAGCUACCAAUGCGACUUAUGCGGGAGUAGGCGUGUG